This 492-nucleotide ribosomal RNA is filed under the name uncultured bacterium. Its description in RNAcentral is "partial 16S ribosomal RNA". It matches the Rfam family "Bacterial small subunit ribosomal RNA", at positions 29 to 507 of the family's 1533-position model. The record is from RNAcentral.
AGUGAACGCUGGCGGUAGGCCUAACACAUGCAAGUCGAACGGCAGCACAGUAAGAGCUUGCUCUUACGGGUGGCGAGUGGCGGACGGGUGAGGAAUACAUCGGAAUCUACUUUUUCGUGGGGGAUAACGUAGGGAAACUUACGCUAAUACCGCAUACGACCUACGGGUGAAAGCAGGGGAUCUUCGGACCUUGCGCGAUUGAAUGAGCCGAUGUCGGAUUAGCUAGUUGGCGGGGUAAAGGCCCACCAAGGCGACGAUCCGUAGCUGGUCUGAGAGGAUGAUCAGCCACACUGUACCUGAGACACGGUCCAGACUCCUACGGGAGGCAGCAGUGGGGAAUAUUCGACAUUGGGCGCGAGCCUGAUCCAGCCAUACCGCGUGGGUGAAGAAGGCCUUCGGGUUGUAAAGCCCUUUUGUUGGGAAAGAAAAGCAGCAGGUUAAUACCCCGCUGUUCUGACGGUACCCAAAGAAUAAGCACCGGCUAACUUCGUG